UUUACUUAAUAAACUUGAAACUUUUAUUAAAAUCAUGCAAACUUUUUCUAAAAAUUGAAAGUAUACAUACAUAAACAAGCUUGAAAGCAUAACUCACUAUUUUUUGCUUAAAAUACAAGUCCAAAUAUUUGAUAACAUGUAUUCAUUCUUGCUCAUCAACCAUAAUAACUAUUCUUGGAAAUGUAUAAAGUAAGAAAAUCAUUUUUCUUUAUUCACCACAACAACAUUAAUAUUUCAGAGUUCUCUCCAUCGCUAACUCGGUGCCAACGAUCUCAAUUCAUUUUUGAGACUCAAUGAGCCAACUACAUAAACAUAAAGAUUCAUAACAAUUAGUUCACCAUCAAGAUCUAUCCAACUACAUCAUAAUUCUAAAAUUAAAUCAUUUUCGC
RNAcentral lists this long non-coding RNA (389 nucleotides) under Cicer arietinum (chickpea). Its description in RNAcentral is "long non-coding RNA (CARI_LNC002481)". Lineage: Eukaryota; Viridiplantae; Streptophyta; Magnoliopsida; Fabales; Fabaceae. The record is from RNAcentral.